RNAcentral lists this ribosomal RNA (468 nucleotides) under uncultured bacterium. Its description in RNAcentral is "partial 16S ribosomal RNA". It matches the Rfam family "Bacterial small subunit ribosomal RNA", at positions 28 to 507 of the family's 1533-position model. The record is from RNAcentral.
GACGAACGCUGGCGGCGUGCUUAACACAUGCAAGUCGAACGGAAAGGCCCUGCUUUUGUGGGGUGCUCGAGUGGCGAACGGGUGAGUAACACGUGAGUAACCUGCCCUUGACUUUGGGAUAACUUCAGGAAACUGGGGCUAAUACCGGAUAGGAGCUCCUGCUGCAUGGUGGGGGUUGGACAGUUUCGGCGGUUGGGGAUGGACUCGCGGCUUAUCAGCUUGUUGGUGGGGUAGUGGCUUACCAAGGCUUUGACGGGUAGCCGGCCUGAGAGGGUGACCGGCCACAUUGGGACUGAGAUACGGCCCAGACUCCUACGGGAGGCAGCAGUGGAGAAUAUUGCACAGUGGGCGGAAGCCUGAUGCAGCAACGCCGCGUGCGGGAUGACGGCCUUCGGGUUGUAAACCGCUUUCGCCUGUGACGAAGCGUGAGUGACGGUAAUGGGUAAAGAAGCACCGGCUAACUACGUG